UUGCCUGUGGAUUCUGUUUGUUCCAG
Molecule: non-coding RNA, 26 nt
Filed under: Homo sapiens (human)
Lineage: Eukaryota; Metazoa; Chordata; Mammalia; Primates; Hominidae
Source: RNAcentral